Molecule: ribosomal RNA, 314 nt
Filed under: uncultured Bacteroidales bacterium
Lineage: Bacteria; Pseudomonadati; Bacteroidota; Bacteroidia; Bacteroidales
Description: bacterial SSU rRNA
Rfam family: Bacterial small subunit ribosomal RNA
Source: RNAcentral
GCUCAGGAUGAACGCUAGCUACAGGCUUAACACAUGCAAGUCGAGGGGUAGCAGGGUGGCAAUACCGCUGACGACCGGCGCACGGGUGAGUAACACGUAUCCAACCUUCCCAUAACUCGGGGAUAGCCUUUCGAAAGAAAGAUUAAUACCCGAUAGUACUUAAGAAAGGCAUCUUUUUUAAGUUAAAGAUUUAUUGGUUAUGGAUGGGGAUGCGUUCCAUUAGAUAGUUGGUGAGGUAACGGCUCACCAAGUCUUCGAUGGAUAGGGGUUCUGAGAGGAAGGUCCCCCACAUUGGUACUGAGACACGGACCAAA